CUAUGUUACGUGUAGAUAUUGAUCUAUAGAUCUAAACAUUCAACCAAUCAAAUUAACUCUCUGUCCGUCAGUCAGGGCAGCUGUUCUACGUGGGUUUGCCGAGUACGUACCGCCUGCCGGUGCUGGAGCCGCCGAUGCCCCGCCUCCCCUCGUACGAGAGCGUGCGAAAGAAGGACCGGCAGCGGCAGAUCCACAUGAUGAUCGCCGACCGCUUCGGCCUGAACGGACCCAUGACUACAGAGCCGCCGCCCACGUACGAAGAGAGCAUACGGCACUCUGUUCAGUCUCUGGACGUCACGUUUGAGACCCUGACAUCAGAAACAGCGCCACCUGCUCAGGUUAUGAACACUGAACCUACAGAACAUGUGGAUGAUUUACCUCAGUAUGAGGAGCUACCUCAAAAUACCUCAAACUGCUCAACAUCUGGUACCAAUGACAUCCAGACUCCUCAACCUGACUGAACCAGGAGGAUCUGAGCUCUGGAGCUGCUGCUGCUGCUGCUGCUGCUGCUGUUUGAUUGAUUAUAAUGACGGGAUUGGUCGUUUUCACUCUGUGCCCACCCACUCUGACCCCCUGGACUGGUGUGGGUUUCUCCUUUUUCUCGGCCAAAAAGACAAUAUUUAACCAGGCUGCUGGUGUCCAGGGACAAAUGGAGUACUGCAAACACUGAGCCAUGAUCAGCCUCUUCCGGUCCAAAUCCUGCAGGCUGCUGGAGGACUGGAGCUUUGUUUAUCAAUGACUCUUCACACCUCAGCAGGAAAAACAGGGGAUUUGACUGCAGCCUUUUGCUCAGAGACCUUCGUAACCAAAACGCUGAGUAAAGAGCAAAGGAGCAACUGCAGGAUGUGAGAAUCGAGAAGCGAGACGCAAUAUUUAUUACCAUUCUGAGUUCAUUUCUUGGAAUUCUUGGCCUUGUGACAAUAAGAAACAAGCAAUACAACCAAUGCAAGAAUAAGAGGUACAACAUAUAUCAUAAUCAUACAUAAUAAAUGCAUUUAAUUAAUAUAAGUCUGACA
This 1016-nucleotide long non-coding RNA is filed under the name Astyanax mexicanus (Mexican tetra). RNAcentral describes it as "lncRNA (ENSAMXG00005004439.1)". Lineage: Eukaryota; Metazoa; Chordata; Actinopteri; Characiformes; Acestrorhamphidae. The record is from RNAcentral.